CAGCCGCCGCGGGAAUACAGAGGGUGCGAGCGUUAAUCGGAUUUACUGGGCGUAAAGCGUGCGUAGGCGGAUUCUUAAGUCGGAUGUGAAAUCCCUGAGCUUAACUUAGGAAUUGCAUUCGAUACUGGGAAGCUAGAGUAUGGGAGAGGAUGGUAGAAUUCCAGGUGUAGCGGUGAAAUGCGUAGAGAUCUGGAGGAAUACCGAUGGCGAAGGCAGCCAUCUGGCAUAAUACUGACGCUGAGGUACGAAAGCAUGGGGAGCAAACAGGAUUAGAUACCCCCGUAGUCCCUGUCUCUUAUAC
This 301-nucleotide ribosomal RNA is filed under the name uncultured bacterium. RNAcentral describes it as "partial 16S ribosomal RNA". It matches the Rfam family "Bacterial small subunit ribosomal RNA", at positions 509 to 807 of the family's 1533-position model. The record is from RNAcentral.